AUGGAUUUUCUUGUGUGGAGGAAAACUGCUCUUAAUUUACCCACUCAUUUCACUUUGGUUCUCAGCUUUUAAGAUACAUUUCUCUACAGGAGAUAGUUAAGCUCUGUGCAUGAGGACAGGGGAUCUGGGCAUAUUUGCUGCAGAAGAUGGUGUGGCUCACUCUGCAAAUCUCUGUAUGAGCCAGAGGCACUGUACAGCAGAGCGUGUGCGAGGGUAACGUGAAUAAUUCUGUUCUCUUUCAAAGGCUCCUGCUUAGAAAGGAUCAGAACUCAAGAGAAGUCUGCAUGACCUUACAGAUCCAUUAGGGUACUGUCUUAGGGAAGAAAUGGGUCUCAUACUGUGUUCUGAAAGCUGCAAACAGGAAAUUUAUUGUGCUGAUGCCACUACUGAGUGCCAAAAAUAGCUAUGGACACUUGAAUUGCUGGAAGACUGUAACCUGGAGAGGUACUGUUCAAAACCAGACAAUCCGCAUGGUACAAAGCAGGUCACCUUGAAGCCCCCUCUGCUCAUUUUACACAGCUUGGGAAAAGCUUUUCAUCUCCUGGCCUUGAUGUUGGGAAGGGACAACAGCUAUUCAAGCACCACCAAAGCUUAAGGUGUGUUGGGAGCCAAAACCCGGCUGAAAAUCAGAUUAUCUGCAGGCUUAACAGGAAGGUCAAAUGUAUUUCCUUGGCUGAAUUCCCAUGUUUGCUGAAAGCCAGGCAGAUUACUCAGGACAUGAAUUGCAGCCCUGAAUACAGGUAUUCUUUUUUUGCUUCCUAACACUCAAGGGCAGUUGUUUGUCAUUAUUUUUGCCUUUUUUAUGUGUUGGAAACUCUUCCAAACACUGUGUUAGCAUAUUUCAGUUCAUAGAGAGCUCACGAACCUCACUUUG
This is a long non-coding RNA of Tympanuchus pallidicinctus (lesser prairie-chicken), 874 nucleotides long. RefSeq lists it as uncharacterized. The transcript has 3 exons. NCBI's taxonomy places the organism in Eukaryota, Metazoa, Chordata, Aves, Galliformes, Phasianidae. The record is from RefSeq and is a predicted model, not a curated record.